RNAcentral lists this transfer RNA (91 nucleotides) under Mycobacterium sp. OAS707. RNAcentral's name for it is "tRNA-OTHER". It matches the Rfam family "transfer-messenger RNA", at positions 283 to 374 of the family's 374-position model. Rfam says of the family: Bacterial tmRNA, also known as 10Sa RNA or SsrA, is named for its dual tRNA and mRNA-like properties. Its role is to liberate the mRNA from a stalled ribosome. Lineage: Bacteria; Bacillati; Actinomycetota; Actinomycetes; Mycobacteriales; Mycobacteriaceae. The record is from RNAcentral.
GGAGAUCCGAGUAGAGACAUAGCGAACUGCGCACGGAGAAGCCUCGAGGGAAUGCCGUAGGACCCGGGUUCGAUUCCCGGCAGCUCCACCA